Long non-coding RNA from Cynoglossus semilaevis (tongue sole), 455 nucleotides. RefSeq lists it as uncharacterized. The record is from RefSeq and is a predicted model, not a curated record. Lineage: Eukaryota; Metazoa; Chordata; Actinopteri; Pleuronectiformes; Cynoglossidae. The transcript is spliced from 3 exons.
AGGAGGAGGAAGCCAUGAAUCUGCUGCUCUGGCUUCUCUAUCAGCACCUCCAGAGAGAGCAGGAGAGCACGCAGGAUGUCUAUGAAGGAGUUCCUACAGAGGGAGGGCGGAGUGAAGAGGAGCGAGGAACAGCGGGAGAGUUUUAGAAGCGAACAGGAUCAGGAUUUUUCUUCCAUGUUGGUCCGGAGUCUCUAGAACACCUGGAAAACCAUCAAUCAACGCUCUCUUGAUCCCUGGAUCAUCAACCUGUCACACACAAAACACACCAACAUCCAUGGAAACACUGCACCAGGAGGAACCUGGAGGUACUGUACCUCUGGAACAUGUCGAGGUUCUGCUGCCUGAACUGGAAGUACUGAGCCAGCAGCCUGAACGUCUCCACCUGGUCAAAUUUCCUCGCCCUCAGGAAGCGCAGGAUAAAGUCGUCGUCUGUUCGCAGGAAACCGAUGUCAGGC